GGUUAAGUUAGAAAGGGCGCACGGUGGAUGCCUUGGCACUAGGAGCCGAUGAAGGACGGGACGAACACCGAUAUGCUUCGGGGAGCUGUAAGCAAGCUUUGAUCCGGAGAUUUCCGAAUGGGGAAACCCACCACUCGUAAUGGAGUGGUAUCCAUAUCUGAAUACAUAGGAUAUGAGAAGGCAGACCCGGGGAACUGAAACAUCUAAGUACCCGGAGGAAGAGAAAGCAAAUGCGAUUCCCUGAGUAGCGGCGAGCGAAACGGGACCAGCCCAAACCAAGAGGCUUGCCUCUUGGGGUUGUAGGACACUCUGUACGGAGUUACAAAGGAACGAGGUAGAUGAAGAGGUCUGGAAAGGCCCGCCAUAGAAGGUAACAGCCCUGUAGUCAAAACUUCGUUCUCUCCUGAGUGGAUCCUGAGUACGGCGGAACACGUGAAAUUCCGUCGGAAUCCGGGAGGACCAUCUCCCAAGGCUAAAUACUCCCUAGUGACCGAUAGUGAACCAGUACCGUGAGGGAAAGGUGAAAAGCACCCCGGAAGGGGAGUGAAAGAGAUCCUGAAACCGUGUGCCUACAAGUAGUCAGAGCCCGUUAACGGGUGAUGGCGUGCCUUUUGUAGAAUGAACCGGCGAGUUACGAUCCCGUGCAAGGUUAAGCAGAAGAUGCGGAGCCGCAGCGAAAGCGAGUCUGAAUAGGGCGAAUUGAGUACGUGGUCGUAGACCCGAAACCAGGUGAUCUACCCAUGUCCAGGGUGAAGUUCAGGUAACACUGAAUGGAGGCCCGAACCCACGCACGUUGAAAAGUGCGGGGAUGAGGUGUGGGUAGGGGUGAAAUGCCAAUCGAACCUGGAGAUAGCUGGUUCUCUCCGAAAUAGCUUUAGGGCUAGCCUCAAGGUAAGAGUCUCGGAGGUAGAGCACUGAUUGGACUAGGGGCCCCUACCGGGUUACCGAAUUCAGUCAAACUCCGAAUGCCGAUGACUUAUCCUUGGGAGUCAGACUGCGAGUGAUAAGAUCCGUAGUCGAAAGGGAAACAGCCCAGACCGCCAGCUAAGGUCCCAAAGUAUACGUUAAGUGGAAAAGGAUGUGGAGUUGCUUAGACAACCAGGAUGUUGGCUUAGAAGCAGCCACCAUUUAAAGAGUGCGUAAUAGCUCACUGGUCGAGUGACUCUGCGCCGAAAAUGUACCGGGGCUAAACGUAUCACCGAAGGCGCGGACUGUUCUUCGAACAGUGGUAGGAGAGCGUUCUAAGGGCUGUGAAGCAAGACCGGAAGGACUUGUGGAGCGCUUAGAAGUGAGAAUGCCGGUAUGAGUAGCGAAAGAGGGGUGAGAAUCCCCUCCACCGAAUGCCUAAGGUUUCCUGAGGAAGGCUCGUCCGCUCAGGGUUAGUCGGGACCUAAGCCGAGGCCGAAAGGCGUAGGCGAUGGAUAACAGGUUGAUAUUCCUGUACCACCUCCUCACCAUUUGAGCAAUGGGGGGACGCAGGAGGAUAGGGUAAGCGCGGUAUUGGAUAUCCGCGUCCAAGCAGUUAGGCUGGGAAAUAGGCAAAUCCGUUUCCCGUGAAGGCUGAGCUGUGAUGGCGAGCGAAUUAUAGUAGCGAAGUUCCUGAUUCCACACUGCCAAGAAAAGCCUCUAGCGAGGUGAGAGGUGCCCGUACCGCAAACCGACACAGGUAGGCGAGGAGAGAAUCCUAAGGUGAUCGAGAGAACUCUCGUUAAGGAACUCGGCAAAAUGACCCCGUAACUUCGGGAGAAGGGGUGCUCUGUUAGGGUGCAAGCCCGAGAGAGCCGCAGUGAAUAGGCCCAGGCGACUGUUUAGCAAAAACACAGGUCUCUGCGAAGCCGUAAGGCGAAGUAUAGGGGCUGACGCCUGCCCGGUGCUGGAAGGUUAAGAGGAGCGCUUAGCGUAAGCGAAGGUGCGAAUUGAAGCCCCAGUAAACGGCGGCCGUAACUAUAACGGUCCUAAGGUAGCGAAAUUCCUUGUCGGGUAAGUUCCGACCCGCACGAAAGGCGCAACGAUCUGGGCACUGUCUCAACGAGAGACUCGGUGAAAUUAUAGUACCUGUGAAGAUGCAGGUUACCCGCGACAGGACGGAAAGACCCCGUGGAGCUUUACUGCAGCCUGAUAUUGAAUGUUGGUACAGCUUGUACAGGAUAGGUAGGAGCCUUGGAAACCGGAGCGCCAGCUUCGGUGGAGGCAUCGGUGGGAUACUACCCUGGCUGUAUUGACCUUCUAACCCGCCGCCCUUAUCGGGCGGGGAGACAGUGUCAGGUGGGCAGUUUGACUGGGGCGGUCGCCUCCUAAAAGGUAACGGAGGCGCCCAAAGGUUCCCUCAGAAUGGUUGGAAAUCAUUCGCAGAGUGUAAAGGCACAAGGGAGCUUGACUGCGAGACCUACAAGUCGAGCAGGGACGAAAGUCGGGCUUAGUGAUCCGGUGGUUCCGCAUGGAAGGGCCAUCGCUCAACGGAUAAAAGCUACCCCGGGGAUAACAGGCUUAUCUCCCCCAAGAGUCCACAUCGACGGGGAGGUUUGGCACCUCGAUGUCGGCUCAUCGCAUCCUGGGGCUGUAGUCGGUCCCAAGGGUUGGGCUGUUCGCCCAUUAAAGCGGUACGCGAGCUGGGUUCAGAACGUCGUGAGACAGUUCGGUCCCUAUCCGUCGCGGGCGCAGGAAAUUUGAGAGGAGCUGUCCUUAGUACGAGAGGACCGGGAUGGACGCACCGCUGGUGUACCAGUUGUUCUGCCAAGGGCAUCGCUGGGUAGCUAUGUGCGGACGGGAUAAGUGCUGAAAGCAUCUAAGCAUGAAGCCCCCCUCAAGAUGAGAUUUCCCAUUCCGCAAGGAAGUAAGAUCCCUGAAAGAUGAUCAGGUUGAUAGGUCUGAGGUGGAAGUGUGGCGACACAUGGAGCUGACAGAUACUAAUCGAUCGAGGACUUAACCAA
This 2930-nucleotide ribosomal RNA is filed under the name Bacillus velezensis. RNAcentral describes it as "23S ribosomal RNA". It matches the Rfam family "Bacterial large subunit ribosomal RNA". Lineage: Bacteria; Bacillati; Bacillota; Bacilli; Caryophanales; Bacillaceae. The record is from RNAcentral.